CAUACAGGUAAGAUUAUGAUCUAGACAAGUCUGCACUGGAAAGAAGCUAAGUGUCCAGCUCCUCAUCUUCCACUUGGCAGUGCCACUGGCUUAAAGUACUGGUUACCUGUGGAAACAGAGGAAUCUCAUCAGCUACUUAUUUUCCUCCCAUUUGUAUGGUGACUGCCCAUUUCCUCCACAGAGCCUUCCUUAACUGACUGCUUCCACCAGUGACACAAAGAUAUAUCUGCAGUCGCAUCUUAGUUUUCCAGUGAAAUUACAUUAGUGUCCACAUCCUAUGGGUACAGUUUCAAGUGAGCAGAGGUGAACCCUUAUAAGGAAUAGGAAGAGAUGGCUGACUCUCUUGGGUCGUGGUGAAAGCACUCUACAGCAGGAUGACCAGAGCAGUUAUUUCCUAUUAUUUGUGAUGGUUAUAACUAUCUUCUCUGUUCCUCAUGUAAUGUCCUUUGACUUCUGGAGAUGAGAUUUCCUGUGAAAAGAAAAACAAAAGACUUCCCUUUCCUUUGUGAGGUGUUCAUCUAGUUUAUGAGAUAUACAUUUGAAGAAUACCUGUCAUUUC
Molecule: non-coding RNA, 559 nt
Organism: Cricetulus griseus (Chinese hamster)
Lineage: Eukaryota; Metazoa; Chordata; Mammalia; Rodentia; Cricetidae
Source: RefSeq, a predicted model, not a curated record